This 468-nucleotide ribosomal RNA is filed under the name uncultured bacterium. RNAcentral's name for it is "partial 16S ribosomal RNA". It matches the Rfam family "Bacterial small subunit ribosomal RNA", at positions 28 to 507 of the family's 1533-position model. The record is from RNAcentral.
GACGAACGCUGGCGGCGUGCUUAACACAUGCAAGUCGAACGGAAAGGCCCUGCUUUUGUGGGGUGCUCGAGUGGCGCACGGGUGAGUAACACGUGAGUAACCUGCCCUUGACUUUGGGAUAACUUCAGGAAACUGGGGCUAAUACCGGAUAGGAGCUCCUGCUGCAUGGUGGGGGUUGGAAAGUUUCGGCGGUUGGGGAUGGACUCGCGGCUUAUCAGCUUGUUGGUGGAGUAGUGGCUUACCAAGGCUUUGACGGGUAGCCGGCCUGAGACGGUGACCGGGCACAUUGGGACUGAGAUACGGCCCAGACUCCUACGGGAGGCAGCAGUGGGGAAUAUUGCACAAUGGGCGGAAGCCUGAUGCAGCAACGCCGCGUGCGGGAUGACGGCCUUCGGGUUGUAAACCGCUUUCGCCUGUGACGAAGCGUGAGUGACGGUAAUUGGUAAAGAAGCACCGGCUAACUACGUG